AGGAAGUUAAUUCAUUUUAAUAUAGACUUGUCGAGUCUAAGAAGAGAUUUUCCUUUAUUUCCAG
This 64-nucleotide transfer RNA is filed under the name Janira maculosa. RNAcentral's name for it is "tRNA-Asp". Lineage: Eukaryota; Metazoa; Arthropoda; Malacostraca; Isopoda; Janiridae. The record is from RNAcentral.